UCCUCACCUGCUUCCCUCUGAGCUCUUAUCCUCCAGCUGAGGCGACCCUUACCCAUGCCGGUGCAAGGGAAAGAUUAGAGCAACAGUCGACCCUGGGCUGAAACAACAAGCAGACGCUCCGCUCAGCCCUGGCUGUGAGGCCCACGCGUCGUCCUCUCUGUGUGAGUCUUAUCUGCCCACAGGAAGCCAGAUGUUCAUGCUACUUCCAGGCCACACACUCCCGGAUGGACUCUACAUGCGUGCAGAUGGUCAUUCAUCCCCACGUCCUUGCCGAGUGUGGAAGGCGGAGGGUUUGCAGGGUUGUCGCAGGAAUCCAGUCCCUCGCUGGCCAGAUGAUGACUGGACUGCUGUGCAAAAAGAAAACGUACGAUGAGAUCUUUGAGGGUCCUGAGGAAGUGAGGUCCAAACAAAAGGUGGCAUUAGCCAAGGGUUCACUGCUCAGAAAUAUGAACCACCUGUAACGAGGCCCCGGGGGACUCACAAAAGUCUGGCAGAUCACCCCCUAAUGGCUCGGCCUCCUGCUGGACCUGCAGCCCUCUCCCCCUCAACAUUUCCUGACUGCCUCCACUAAUUAUCUGGAAUUUGUUUGUAAUAAAUGCCUUAUGUUGCCCUACCGAGGUGCCUUUUUCAUUAGCAGUUCUUUUCCUGUGAUGUGGG
Molecule: long non-coding RNA, 657 nt
Filed under: Heterocephalus glaber (naked mole-rat)
Lineage: Eukaryota; Metazoa; Chordata; Mammalia; Rodentia; Bathyergidae
Description: lncRNA (ENSHGLG00100047943.1)
Source: RNAcentral